GACGAACGCUGGCGGCGUGCCUAAUACAUGCAAGUCGAGCGAAUGAUGAGGAGCUUGCUCCUCUGAUUUAGCGGCGGACGGGUGAGUAACACGUGGGUAAUCUGCCUGUAAGACGGGGAUAACUCCGGGAAACCGGGGCUAAUACCGGAUAACAAGAGGAAAUGCAUAUUUCCUUUUUGAAAGUCGGUUUACGCUGACACUUACAGAUGAGCCCGCGGCGCAUUAGCUAGUUGGUGAGGUAAAGGCUAACCAAGGCGACGAUGCGUAGCCGACCUGGGAGGGUGAUCGGCCACACUGGGACUGAGACACGGCCCAGACUCCUACGGGAGGCAGCAGUAGGGAAUCUUCGGCAAUGGGCGAAAGCCUGACCGAGCAACGCCGCGUGAGCGAUGAAGGCCUUCGGGUCGUAAAGCUCUGUUGUUAGGGAAGAACAAGUACGAGAGUAACUGCUCGUACCUUGACGGUACCUAACCAGAAAGCCACGGCUAACUACGUGCCAGCCGCCGCCGUAA
Molecule: ribosomal RNA, 512 nt
Filed under: uncultured bacterium
Lineage: Bacteria
Description: partial 16S ribosomal RNA
Rfam family: Bacterial small subunit ribosomal RNA
Source: RNAcentral